UGGGGAAUUUUGGACAAUGGGGGCAACCCUGAUCCAGCCAUUCCGCGUGAGUGAAGAAGGCCUUCGGGUUGUAAAGCUCUUUCAGCAGGAACGAAACGGUCGGCUUUAAUAAAGUCGGCUAAUGACGGUACCUGCAGAAGAAGCACCGGCUAACUACGUGCCAGCAGCCGCGGUAAUACGUAGGGUGCGAGCGUUAAUCGGAAUUACUGGGCGUAAAGCGUGCGCAGGCGGCGACAUAAGACAGAUGUGAAAUCCCCGGGCUCAACCUGGGAACUGCGUUUGUGACUGUGUUGCUAGAGUGUAGCAGAGGGGGGUGGAAUUCCACGUGUAGCAGUGAAAUGCGUAGAGAUGUGGAGGAACACCGAUGGCGAAGGCAGCCCCCUGGGUUAACACUGACGCUCAUGCACGAAAGCGUGGGGAGCAAACAGGAUUAGAUACCCCAGUAGUCCCUGAGCGGGCUGGCAAGGCGCAU
This 472-nucleotide ribosomal RNA is filed under the name uncultured bacterium. RNAcentral describes it as "bacterial SSU rRNA". It matches the Rfam family "Bacterial small subunit ribosomal RNA", at positions 355 to 825 of the family's 1533-position model. The record is from RNAcentral.